RNAcentral lists this ribosomal RNA (1268 nucleotides) under metagenome. RNAcentral's name for it is "bacterial LSU rRNA". It matches the Rfam family "Bacterial large subunit ribosomal RNA", at positions 1678 to 2925 of the family's 2925-position model. The record is from RNAcentral.
AUACCAAGGCGAUCGGGUGAACUGUGGUUAAGGAACUCGGCAAAUUGCCCCCGUAACUUCGGGAGAAGGGGGACCUCUGCUGGUGAUGGGCUUUACGUUCUGAGCUGGUGGGGGUCGCAGUGGCCAGGGGGAAGCGACUGUUUACUAAAAACACAGGUCCGUGCGAAGUCGUAAGACGAUGUAUACGGACUGACGCCUGCCCGGUGCCGGAACGUUAAGGGGACCGCUUAGCCAGCUUCGGUUGGCGAAGGUGAGAACUUAAGCGCCGGUAAACGGCGGUGGUAACUAUAACCAUCCUAAGGUAGCGAAAUUCCUUGUCGGGUAAGUUCCGACCUGCGCGAAUGGCGUAACGACUUCCCCGCUGUCUCAACCACAGACCCGGCGAAAUUGCACUACGAGUAAAGAUGCUCGUUUCGCGCAGCAGGACGGAAAGACCCCGGGACCUUCACUACAGCUUGACAUUGGCGUUUGGAACGUCUUGUGUAGGAUAGGUGGGAGACUGGGAAGCUGUCACGCUAGUGAUGGUGGAGUCAUUGGUGAAAUACCACUCUGGUCGUUUUGAACGUCUAACUCUGGUCCGUGAUCCGGAUCGGGGACAGUGUCUGGUGGGUAGUUUAACUGGGGCGGUUGCCUCCUAAAGAGUAACGGAGGCGCCCAAAGGUUCCCUCAGCCUGGUUGGCAAUCAGGUGUUGAGUGUAAGUGCACAAGGGAGCUUGACUGUGAGACUGACAGGUCGAGCAGGAGCGAAAGCUGGGACUAGUGAUCCGGCAUCGGCGUGUGGAAGCGGUGUCGCUCAACGGCUAAAAGGUACCCCGGGGAUAACAGGCUGAUCUUCCCCAAGAGUCCAUAUCGACGGGAUGGUUUGGCACCUCGAUGUCGGCUCGUCGCAUCCUGGGGCUGGAGUAGGUCCCAAGGGUUGGGCUGUUCGCCCAUUAAAGCGGUACGCGAGCUGGGUUUAGAACGUCGCGAGACAGUUCGGUCCCUAUCCGCUGCGCGCGCAGGAGACUUGAAGGGGGCUGUCCCUAGUACGAGGGGACCGGGACGGACGAACCUCUGGUGUGCCAGUUGUACCGCCAGGUGCACGGCUGGUUGGCUACGUUCGGAAGGGAUAACCGCUGAAAGCAUCUAAGCGGGAAGCUCGCCUUGAGAUGAGGUCUCCCACCCUGUGAGGGGGUAAGGCUCCCGGUAGAUCACCGGGUUGAUAGGCCGGAGGUGGAAGCACGGUAACGUGUGGAGCUGACCGGUACUAAUAGGCCGAGGACUUGAUC